Molecule: non-coding RNA, 5029 nt
Organism: Anas platyrhynchos (mallard)
Lineage: Eukaryota; Metazoa; Chordata; Aves; Anseriformes; Anatidae
Source: RefSeq, a predicted model, not a curated record
UGCUGCUGUUGAUCAGCUUCAGUCUUUCUGCACCUCGGGGGAAGGCCUUCAGCGUUUAGAGCAGCACAACAAGUCCCACAAAACGAGCUCAGGGUGCUAAAUACUCCUGAGGCUUUCCCUCCAUACCGCUGUCCCACCCGGUGCGUACCGGGGUGCGUUUCCAUGCCCAGCUGCAAUGACAAACCCUUGCUGCAUGCGAGCAGCAACCAGGAUGUCUCUGGGCUCACCCUGGCUGCAGAGGGACAUUUCUCCUUACUGUUCGUAUUUUUUUAUCCCUGCCGUUGGAGCACUGACCCUGGCUUAGGUCGAGGUGUGUAGAGUCAGAGCCACGCAGACUCGCUACCCCCGUGGAGCAGCCCGCAGGCUGUAGACAGGUCGGUUUUUCCUCUCCAAGGACACAUCAGUUCAGCAAGUCCUGCUCCUCUUGAGCCCUCCUCCUCCCCUGCUCUCUCUCCCUUCACCCCCGGUGCCUUCACGCCCUGCAGGGACCUGUUUUUGAGGCUCCCUCGGGUCCGUGGGUGCCAGCUCCUGCCUGGAGGCAGCAGCUGCCGGGCGGCCGUGCCGGCAGGGAGGUCGCAGCGGGAGCACGGGGCGUGGGAGGGGAGGCAGGAAUAAGAUCCUGGCAGCGAGCUGGGACUUGCUGCCUCUCCGAGCUCAUCCCCAGGGCCACGCCAGAGAGCCGUCCCUCCUGCCUGGCACGUUUCUCUCCCUUUCUCCCCCACCCCUGCGCCUGGGAUUACACAGUCCUGGGGUGGCUCUGCUCUUGGGUGUGGGACUUGAAACUGGUCGAACCAACCCCCAGCAGGUGAUUCACUGGACGUGCUCUGGCCUCUGCUUUGUUCCCGCAGAGUCUGUCAGCAGCUGGUGAUUUUUUUCACCUCCUGCCAGAGCUGUUGCUCGCAUCUGAGAUGUCCAAAAGAGCAGACUCCGCUCAUCCCCUGCCUCCCUGCCCUGGUGCUUCCCUUUUUCUCUGCAAGAUGUGGUGGCGCUGUACCACGGGCUUCAUCUUCGCAUGGUUUGAAAGCCUCGGGGUGCAGGAGAGCAGCUCCUGGUUGUGGAGGUAACCCCAGAAGGGGUUUGAGGUCCUGGAGCUGGGGUGCUAACGCCCACAUCUCCCUGGAUGGAAGCUCCGUGGUUGGUACCAAGCCUUGCUGCCUGAGCCGGGUUAUCUCAGGGCUGCUGUGUGUUUGCUGGGAAUUGCUGCUUCCAUCUGUGUGCAUCUCUGGGGACGUGGUUCUGGGUCCAAACCCUGCUCUUGCUUUCACCCUGUGAAGGCUGAGGCCUGGCAGCUCGGCUCCCCUGACCUCCCCCAAGCCCUGGCACAGCCCCAAGCCGUGUCCUUGCAGCCUCCUUCGCAGGAGCUCGUGCCCUGCUUUGCCCGGGGGAAAGGAAGAUGUUCCACUGCGUGCACAGCAGAAGCAGCCUCCUCGUGUGGGCCGAUGCCACCGCCCUCCCCAGCGAGCCCUGGCAGCCUCCAGCAGCCUCCUCCUGCCUUGCUCCCAGCCCCGCCGAGGGCUGUGCUUAAAAACGGCCGCCUGGGAACGGGCAUUGUCCUCCAGCGAACUUCUAGGGUGUCGUGGCAUUGAUUAUUUUUCCUCCCCUAAUAAAUGCAGGGCUUGGCUCCGGCACAAAAUCCAUCUCAUCCCAGCUCACGCCGGGAAGGGAGAGGUGAAGGCAGCGGCGGCUGAUGGCCAAGCUGCCGAGCGGAGAGAAGCGAGGGGAGGAGCACGGGGAGGGGAGGCAGCCCGGGGAGUGUGGGGGGAGAGGAAACACCAGGGGGGAAAUGGUCAGGGGAGAGCAGCCUGAGGUGGACAGAGCAGGACCGUGGUGGCAGGGGAGAAUGGAAGGAAAACCUCGCAGAAAGGGGCGAUCUGGAAGCUGUUCUUUCUGCCGCAAUUCGUGAUGCGCCUUCCCCUGGCAGAAGCUGCAGACUGGAGGUGUCUGGGGAGGAAUCGGCGGGGUUUUGGGGCCGUGUGAGUGCUGGGGCGAGGGAAGAAAUCCUCGCUGCCUGUGACCCUGAGCACCCGGCGUACCCCAGUGCCAGUCCCCGAGGACGUGGUUUGGAAGUGGCCGCUGUGCCCAGCCCGCUGAGGUCGCACCGGUCUUUCCCCUCUCCAGCCACGCGGUUAUUUGGAGCAGGGGUGAAAACCCAUGCUCCUGCUGCCAGUUGCCAAGGCAGUUUCUUCAAAAAGGGAGAGGAGCAGGGAAGGAGGGAGCUGCCUGGAGAGGAGGCAGACGAUGCGCACGAGGACGAGGUGGCGAGGAGCCCGCAACCACCAGCGAUGGAGGCAGAGGAGCUCUCCAAAACGCUGCCCAUGGCUGAGGGUUUUUUCCCUGGUGUCUUUUCCCAUCUGUGGUUUCUCUGGUCUCGGAGAAGCCCCGUGCGUGGCUGCGGUGAGGACCCUGGGGCGAGCGGCACCGCUGAGCCCUCCCCUCCGUCCCUCUGUGGCUUUGCGUGGCUGCCAACAGGACCAGAGCCUCUCCCUAGCCCCGUGUCAGCUGCUGGUGUCCCAGCAGAUCGCCGCCAGGCCCCUGCGGCAGGGCCUGUGCUUCAGCACCAAGGGCACACAGACGUCUUCUGAGUGGGAAAUGGACUUAGAGCUCACCUCGUCCCUCCUGCGGCUACACCACCUGCACCCAGCCACCUCUGUCGAAGCGUGGCUCCAGAAAUGGCAUUUACGUGGACUUUUGCCUAACAUGCGGUAGUUGUUUGACUGCAUAAAUAACCCUCCCCUCCAAAAAAUACAAAAAUAAAAAGGGCAGCUCCAGCUAUCGGUGUCUAACCAUGGCAAUGCAAGCGCUGACCAAGUUACCGUGUGAAAUCGCCUGCGGGUUUGUGCAAGCAGACCCCACGCCGCACGGCCGAUGUUUUCCCAGUUUCUCCAGUUAGAAGCGGUGCAGAACCCGGCGGGGCUGCUUCCCUACAGGCCACCACAUGCGGGGUGGGGGGGAUCCCCAGCCCUGGGCCCUGAGCUGUGCUCAGUCUGAGGGGUUUCUGUUGGAAGGGAUAACUUAUUUUUUUUAGCCCGUGUAAGGAAAUGACUGCAGCGCCAUCAGCAUCGCUGAGUUUGGCUUGGAAAAGAAAGCAAACCCACCCCCAGCCCUGGUGUCCCCCAGCCCCACGCUCACCCUGGCGGAGGAGCCGGGCUCCAGAAGCGUUUCGUAAUUGUACGCGGCGCGUUUCGUUUCAAUUAGGAGUUCCUUCAUUGCAAAAUGCGUUUGCUUUUAUACUCUGUCUGUGUGCAUAUCUAUGUCAUAUCUACCUAUCUAUACACUAAUAAAUAUAUAUGGCCUGUUUUAAAGUGCCAAUUUAUAAAAAGCUGCCUCCUUCCAAGGCAGACAAGACCCAAUUUCAUCCAUGACAAGAAGGGAGCAGAAUUGACUGAAUAUUGCCAAAUGACGUAAAACAUAAUUUAAAAUUUCUUAAAUAAAUAUAAAAGUUAUUCCUAAAGAAGCCAUAGGCAUGUCAACAAUAUAGGUUGUAACCGGCGCUCAACAGCUAAAGUACCAUUGAAAAACUAAAAUGCCAUAGCAACUUCAGCAAUAGGCAUGAUACAUUGCAAACAUUUUGUUUUUAAAUUAAAUGUACACCACAAGGAACUUAAAAAAUGCUAUUGGUGCAGUAAUGAGAAGACUUCUCGGGUGUUACGGGGAAGGGGACCAUGCAUAGAAAGCUGUGUCUGUAUAUUCGUUGUAAAACAGGUCUAUAAAGUGUAAAGCAGGUAACGCAGUUGAUACAAGAAACCAACCCUAUACGAGAUGCCAAGUGAUGUAACGCGACUGGCUCCAGUUUCGACAGCAAUGGAUAUUAAAGCAAGUCCAUCCAGUGCAGGUAAGAGAUGAGCUUCACUGCAGUAAUACUGAAGUUGCCUUUUUCAGCACUUAGCACAGUGAGGUGGGGCGAGGGGAGGAGAAAUGCUCCAAGAAAGGGCGCGGGGACGCGGCGACGCCGGUCUUCUGCCCGCCGGUCAGGACGGUGGCCGCGGGAGGGCUGCUCCUGGCGAGCAGCAGGCGUGGGCCCCCUCGAAAUUGCUCCCGGGGCUGCCACCGCGUUCAGCUCCUCCGGGCUGGAGUUCCACAACUGCUUCCUGCCGGCUGCUUCGCGUACGUGUUGGAGAAGGACAUGGCUCUGAGUUUCGGGAAUCACAGUAGUGCGCAGUGGGUACAGCAGGGAGCAAACACUUGUGAAACUCCCACAGGAGCAGCUCCCAGCCCUUUCUUAAAGCACUUUUUUUGUUUUUGUUUGUUUGUUUGUUUGUUUGCAUUCAGGGAAACCAACUGCAGGCUUAUUUGAUCCAAUUUUCUCUUUGCACCAUACACAUAUAAAACAUUACAACUCUGUAUAAAAGUACAAGUGGUUCUUGUACAUCUGAAUUAUGCAGGAACUAUGUGAGCAAAUCCUAUCAAAAUAGCUAUUUUUUGUGUGUAUAAACAGCAUUUGUUUUUAGAAAAAACAAUAUCAUAAACUGCAGAAUCUGUACAAAAAUAUAAAAUAAAUUUGGGCAGCAGUUUCUAAACAGCCAUGUAAAUGCAACACUUAAAGAGGAGCAGGUUAAUGCCUCCAAAAGGCUGAAUUGCUAAGUCAACCUAUACAGGGCUAAAAUGGUAUUGAGAUUAUCUAAAUAAUAAAUUUUUUUACCUCUUGCAAUAAAACUUAUAGAAAAAAUAGACAAAUAUGCACAUGCAAUUUACAGCUUUCCCAAACAUAAUCCUUGUGCUUAGCUUUUACAAUUUUUUUUUUUUUGUAAUAACAUAACAUUGUCUACAAUACAUAUUCUUUCGUAUACCAGGAUAUUCGGUCUUCCUUGAGGAACCACUUUAAAAAAAAUACAUUAGAAGUGGUCAUACAUGGAUGAAGGCACUCCAACUCUGCUUGAAGCAAAAACUAGUGUGAUCCUUUUCUUUUCAAAAAAGGCAAGCAAGGACGCAUGCACAGUGCUGUGAAUCGGGGGCGGGAGGGACUAUGGAAAUACUACCAAGUGUAUAUACUGGUACUUAAAAUUAAAAUAAAAUUAAAAAAAAAAAAAAA